ACCUGGGUGGCUCAAUGGUUGAGCAUCUGACUUUGGCUCAGGUUGUGAUCCCAGGGUU
This 58-nucleotide transfer RNA is filed under the name Canis lupus familiaris (dog). Lineage: Eukaryota; Metazoa; Chordata; Mammalia; Carnivora; Canidae. RNAcentral also lists the same sequence under 2 other names. The record is from Rfam by way of RNAcentral.